UAGGGAAUCUUCGGCAAUGGGGGGAACCCUGACCGAGCAACGCCGCGUGAGUGAAGAAGGUUUUCGGAUCGUAAAGCUCUGUUGUUAAGGAAGAACGUGUGUGAGAGUGGAAAGUUCACACAGUGACGGUACUUAACCAGAAAGGGACGGCUAACUACGUGCCAGCAGCCGCGGUAAUACGUAGGUCCCGAGCGUUGUCCGGAUUUAUUGGGCGUAAAGCGAGCGCAGGCGGUUAGAUAAGCCUGAAGUGAAAGGCAGUGGCUCAACCAUUGUAGGCUUUGGAAACUGUUUAACUUGAGUGCAGAAGGGGAGAGUGGAAUUCCAUGUGUAGCGGUGAAAUGCGUAGAUAUAUGGAGGAACACCGGUGGCGAAAGCGGCUCUCUGGUCUGUAACUGACGCUGAGGCUCGAAAGCGUGGGGAGCGAACAGGAUUAGAUACCCUGGUAGUCCACGCCGUAAACGAUGAGUGCUAGGUGUUGGGUCCUUUCCGGGACUUAGUGCCGCAGCUAACGCAUUAAGCACUCCGCCUGGGGAGUACGACCGCAAGGUUG
Molecule: ribosomal RNA, 550 nt
Filed under: uncultured bacterium
Lineage: Bacteria
Description: bacterial SSU rRNA
Rfam family: Bacterial small subunit ribosomal RNA
Source: RNAcentral